UAAAAAGCCCUGAUGAUGCUCCACGGUAA
This 29-nucleotide non-coding RNA is filed under the name Mus musculus (house mouse). The record is from RNAcentral. Lineage: Eukaryota; Metazoa; Chordata; Mammalia; Rodentia; Muridae.